This 1539-nucleotide long non-coding RNA is filed under the name Cyanistes caeruleus (blue tit). RNAcentral describes it as "lncRNA (ENSCCEG00000017813.1)". The record is from RNAcentral. Lineage: Eukaryota; Metazoa; Chordata; Aves; Passeriformes; Paridae.
AUUGAACCUCUGACACUCUGAAUCGCACGCCUCAGCUCCAGACUUUUUCUAGAGCCACUCUGCCUGCAGCUCUUGUGGUUUGGUCUGGGUUUUUUUUUUCCUCCCCCCUCAGCAUUUGUUCUUUCCACUCUGUUUGUGCCACCUCGGUGAAAUUUCAGUUCAUUUUUUUUGCCUCGGUAUAGGAGAAAGUGCUGGUGACUGCUGAGGGCUCCUUUCCCAAUUCCAUUCCAAAUCCAAACGCUUCCAACCCUUCCAAAAACGUGCUGAGCCCUCAUCCCCACCUCGGGAUGAACACCCAGCAAAUCCCAGAUUGCUGAAGAGAAAGGAAAAUCCGGCUUGGAAGCCCCUCUGGAAAGGGGCCAAGGCACAAUCCCAAGGUGUGGGGGUGAGAAGGGCAGCGUCGCCCUCGGAGCUGGAUGGAGCAGGAGCUGCUCCCACCCUCUCACACCCAGCUCCUGCUUUUCCAGCCCUGAUUUUGAACCAGCUGAAGGAAAACACUUGCAGGCAGCAAAAACAGUGCUGGAAAGCUGUGUCUGCUGAGGGUGGGAACGGCUGGGAGCUCCUCAGGGGCCGAGGAUUGGUGGGAUUGUCACCGAGGAUUGGUGGGAUUGUCACUGAGGAGCUUGGGUGGGGUGGGAUGACCCUGCUGUGGGUCUCUGAGGGUGCUGCUGGAUGGGUCAGGACAAACACAGCGUUUUUGGGGGGCUGCCCUUGCCUGGGCUUCUCCUCUCCCAGCAGCAAAGCCCCAAAGGCUGCUGAUCAGCCUCGCUCCUUUGUUUUAGUGGAGCCCAGGUGGGAAUGCUGGAGCAGCCGUGGAAGCUCUGGCUGCAGGAAUGAGCCUCACCAGGUGCCCCGUGUGCCCCAGGCUGCUCCUUUGCUUCAGCUGCUUGGUGGGACCCCAUCUCUGCCUGAUUUCCAGGUGAAAGCCUCUGGAGCUUCCUGAGGUCUCUCCAGGGAGCUGUGGGAAUGCUGCUUCCUUCAAUCCCAUGGGAUCCAGAGCCUCUGAGGAGAAAGGAGCCAGAGAUCACCUCCCCUCAGGGCACUGAGAGCAGCACAGCUUUGAUCCCUGGAUGGGCCCUUCAUGAUCCUUGUGUGUCCCUUCCAGCUGGGAAUAUCCCAUGGUUGUCCUUAGGGAAUAAUCCUGGGAUUGCUGCCCACAGAUCAGGGGAAGCUCUGCAGCCUGGGGGUUUCCCGAGGGACACCAGGAACGCCCUGAGCAGUGGAAGGGGCUCCAGGAAGCUCCACAUGGAUCCAACCCCAUCCCGCGGCUCCUGGAAGCUCCUCACGGAUCCAACCCCAUCCCGCGGCUCCUGGAAGCUCCUCACGGAUCCAACCCCAUCCCGCGGCUCCUGGAAGCUCCUCACGGAUCCAACCCCAUCCCGCGGCUCCUGGAAGCUCCACAUGGAUCCAACCCCAUCCCGCGGCUCCUGCAGGAUCCGGCUGGGCCUUGGUGCUGCAGAAUUACGGAACGCCCGAGGCUGGAGAAGACCUCUGGGGUCACAUCCAGCAGCACACAAACUGCUCUGGGCUUGGCACUAA